GCUGCAGUGAGCCAUGAUUGUGCCACUGCAUUUGAGCUUGGGCGGCAGAGCAAGACCCUGUCUCAAACAAAUUCUUGAUAGCCAUGUUGAAACCUCUGACUGUAAUUGCAGAUUUGUCUGUAAUUUUUCCUCGCAGUUCUAUCAGCUUUUGCUUCGUGUGUUUUGAGACCCUGCGCUCACAUCGUGCAUGCUCUUAACUGGUUGACCCCUGUGUCAUCAUGAAAUGACCCUCUUUAUCCCUAGACCCUGAUUUGAAAUCGAUUCCUGCUUUCCUUUGAUUAGUUUACCACGGGAUAUCUUCUUUCACCUUGCUACUUUUUACCUAGUGUGUCUCAUACUUAAAUUAGCUUCCUUGGAGAUUUCUGUAGGAUCAAAGUAUCUGCUUUGACAUAUUUAUUAACUCUAAAAAAGUAGUAACAGCUUUUCAGUGGAGAAACCACCUUAUCUAUGUGACAAAGCUCGGGCUGUCAGUGGCAAGGCAGAUUGGCAUCAUGUACCCUUGAUACGACACCCUGAGAAGGAUGUCACUUCUGCGAUAUUCCUGCCAAAAAUGCAUCUCCCCAUUCCAAUCGUGAGAACAUCCCGGGCACGCCCAAACUGAGAAAAACUCUACAAAGUGACUGGUCAGUGCAUUCAAAGGCAAAAAGCUCAUGGAAGACGAGAGAAGACAGGAGAAGUGACAGCUAAAAGUAGUGGGGAAUCUUGCAAGGCACAAAGAACAUGAGCAGAGAAACUGCAGACACUGAGUGAGGGCAGCUGUGAAGUUUGUAUGUUAGAAGCGGAAGGGAUGCCAAAGGCAAACCCAAACGUUAUGGUAUAUUUUAAAUUCAGUGAAUUCAUGCAGUUGCCACCGAACACCGCAGUGUAGACAGGAAUGAGUCCGCAGACAUUACCAAGAGUGAAGGAGGCCAGGCUCGCAAAGCACACCUGGCCAGGCUCCGACUGGGGAGGUUCAGGAGCAGACGAGACUCGUGGGGGAGGGGGGGUGAGGAGGUCAGACGCAUGGGGACAACAAUGCGGGGGCUCCAGGGCUCCGGGGGCUGGAGAUGACCGGGUGCUCGUUGUUGACAUAAGAAACCCAUCGGCUGCUCCCACAUAAGGUGUGUGCAUGACUAAGUGUGUGUUAUGCCACUGUCAAGACAGGGCAGAUGUGCAGCCUGCUCACUGGUGGCAGAUGCUUCCCGGUGUUGACAGUGUGUGCACUGACGGACUGCUGAGUCGGGGGCACUUGCCUGAAGCCACGUGCCUUGGGAACACACAGGUGGAGCAGAGCAAACAGGCCGGGAAUACCUCCAUGCCGCGCGUCAGCAAGUUCUCAAAAGACAGCCAGUGCUCCUGCCGGAGGAUCCGCUUCAGCUUCCGAGGCAGCGUCUCCCCCGGCUCCCGGGAGCCCUGGACAGACACAGGCAGGUCAACAGGGCACUGAAGCGGGACCUCAGGCUGCCCUGGCACCCGUCUCCACUGGCCUUCUACCUAUCGUGGGCAGCAGCCCAGCCCCAGGAGCCACAGGCAGGCGGCGUCUUGGGCUGGAGUGACAUUACCCAGAACCAGCCAUCUACGUCAGCAUCUGUGAGCCUGCCAUGGCCCGAGCAGGGGGCACUGGGCUGCAGGCACAACCUCUGAGGAGCAGGGACAGCCCCCAGGAUACCUACCCUGAGCUCAGGCUCCCCAAGGAUGACAGGGCACCCCCUCCCUGCUCCCCUGGCACCUGCCCCAGGCGUCGCCCCCCCACCAGCUCAGGCCCAGUGCAGCAGGCUACUGCAGCGGGUUCCCUGUUUGCAUUCCCGUCUCUCCCAGUCCCACCCCGGCCUGUGCUGGGGCUGGCUGGGCUCCCACACGCUCCCGAGCGCCACCUGCCUCAGGGACCUGACUCUACCCCGAACCUCCUCCUCCCCACACCCAUCUUUCCCAUCCUAUUUGUCAUUCAAAGUCCCAUUGAAACACCCAUGAGUUUCUCAUGAAGACUUUGCAGGCACGUCAAGACAGUCCCACCUUAGCCCCGUGACACUCUCACCCUCAAGCAUGAGUGCCCUAGAGCCAGGAACCCAGGAGGCCCCUCAGAGCGCCCCUCUCAGUGACCAGCCAGAGCUGACAGAGAUGCCGAUGGCUCCGUCCUCGUUCCGCCUCCACCUGCAGAGGGAGCGACCACGGCUGCCCAGGACCCGCUGUGGCCUCCACCCUCCCCUGCGCCACGCUGGGGCUGGCCCUGCCUGGGGCGGGGCGGUGUCAGGUCCACCACAGGCUCAAGCUGUGUUCUUUAUCAAGUUCUUCAUCCCCAGGGAAAAGACUGAGCUAGUAACCACUUAGGGGAUGUCCUUCCUCACUUCCAUCAGCAGCUGGUAGGACUAGAAAGAACCCCAGCCUUCAUGGAGAAUUUUUAAAGAUUAAAACCCUUAGAGAGGUACCUGCCCUUCGA
Macaca mulatta (Rhesus monkey) is the source of this 2416-nucleotide non-coding RNA. Lineage: Eukaryota; Metazoa; Chordata; Mammalia; Primates; Cercopithecidae. The record is from RefSeq and is a predicted model, not a curated record.